GGAGGGAAGCCCUUGCAGAGGCGGGAGGUGGGACCAGCACACAGAACCAGGAGGGCUGAUGUCUCACCCAGAAGAACAGCGGAAAGUCAUACAUGCAGCAGCACACAGGCUCUCAGGGGAGCAAUUGUGCUGGUCUGGGAGAGGAGCAUCUGAACGGUUUCUUCUGGUGGCUUCAUUUUCCCAGGGAAAAAUGAAGCAAGAUGAGAGGACACUGGGGACCAGAGUGGAGGUCGUAGUCUAGAUCUUAUGUUUACCUCUUCACAUUUUUUUCCUGUGGGAGAAAGGAUCACCACAGCUUCCUGCACAAAGCAGUUGCUGUUUGCAAAAGCCCCUUAGAACUUUUCCUGUUGCCUGAAAUUUGUCAUUCACCAUCUCAUCAAAAACGAUCCAAUUUCCAUCAUUGCACUAUUUGAAAAGAUCCUUUUAUACAAUGAAGAGGCCAGCCUGGUGGAAUCUAAUCCUAGUUUAUAACUAGCCACAGUAUGUAGAGAUUGGAAGACACUGUGAAUUGUAAAGGAAUUUAACAUGUAUUGAUCAACUGCCUGAGGCUACUAAAUUAGAUAGGAAGGAAGAAAGCUAACCUUUUUGAAGACCUACUUUAUAUGCUGGGUACCUUAUAUACUUUUUAUUUAAUAUUAUUCCAUGAAGUUUAAUUAAUAACAUUCUACAAAUGAGGAAACUGAAGCAACAGAAGCCAUCAGGAUAAACAGCUUGUCCUAACCUCAGUGAAAGAGAAGGGAUGGGGCUACACUCCGAACCGUGUCUGACUGUGAAGGCUACUCCUAUUUCAUUGCACUACAGUGUCCCCCAAUAUAAUACAGAAAACUCGAGUGAUUAUUGCUCAUGCUAUGGAAUACAAGAUUCAAGUUUAAAGUGAUCUUGGUCAGUUGUAAAGAGGAGAGCCUAACAAAAUAAUGGAAAAGAAAAGUGCAGAACAACGCAAUAAAGAACUAGUAAUUCUGAAAGAAAAACAAGAGGACAAAGGACUUCCUGGCCAAAGUGCAGAAAAGAAAGAUCUGGUAAUAUGAUCAAUACAAUUCUGAAAUGUACUAGAGUAAUGGCAUGCACAUAAUCCUGAAGCAUGAUAUACUAGUCAUCAUGUGGAUGAUGAAAAGGAAUCAGAGCAAACAAACAUAAAUGAUUGACAAGGCAGAAAAGAAGGACCACAAAGGAGAAAAGGUACCUGCCACUGGAGCUUCCCAAGAGUAAGGAUCCUUUCUAAACAUAAAAGAAAAUAAUAAUAAAUAAAAUAAAAAUAAAAAUGAAAACCAAAGAAAGGAUCCUUUCUUAUCACCUUUGCUGUUUAGUGAUUAACAGUCUCUUUAACACGGUGGGCACUUGACAAGCCUUCACUGAAUGGAUAUUGUAAAAGAUGCAGGAAGUAUUUGUAAAGACAACAAUAGCCAUGAGAGGUAUGUGUACAGAUGGAGAAAAAUAUUUUUGAACAUAUAAACUUAAAAGCAGGAGUUCAAGUUCUUAAAGAGAAAUGCUGAGAGAGGCUUUCCCCUGUCUAUGCACAAUGUAGUCAGUCAGUAUUCAAUAAAAGAGCAAGUAAAUGAAUUUUGGUUGUAUUCAGUUCAUAAAACGGGAAUAAAUUACAAAGGAGGUUUAUUCUGCCCUUGGGUUAAAGAAGAGUCACCUGGCACGAGACAGGUUAGUUAUUACUGUCCUUCCCAAUCUCUGACAAGUCUAAAAAUGCUUUAUUUUUCUUUUCUUCAUCUUUUCUUCAUUCUCACUGCCAUGACCCUGGUCUAUUUCUCUUCUGGACUUUUAUACCUGACUCAAAGUAGGCACCUUAGCUAGUGUCUUUGACAUACUGCAGCCAUAUUGAUCAUCCAAUCAAGUCACUCUUUCAUUAAAAAAAACAAAACCCAAGAGCUUCUAAAUGAUAAUUUCAAAAGGCCUUCCGUGAGAUAACUCCAACUGCCUUUCCUAAUAUUAUACCACUCUUCUUUCUGAAAUACACCAAAUGGAAAUGCCCAAUUUCCCCAUACCCUCAAUAUUUCCCUUCUCAAGGCCUUUGUUCCUGCUGCGUAGGAGCUUUCCCUACUCAAUUUGAGUAGGUUCAAAUCAUUCUACCCAUCUUCAAAGGCUACACAUCCCAAAUACUGCUCCUAAUUGCUUUGCAGAAAAGUAUUCUCUCUCCUCCUGAACUUCUAGGGCACCUUGCUUCACCCUUCUUGCACAGAACUUACUAUUUUCAACCUUGAAUUCAGUUAUUUAGGUAAAUCCUUUAUGUCAUAUACUAAACAUAAAUUCCUUAAAAUUAGUCUUACUCAACUUUGUGGCUCUCACAUGACAUGGCUCAUAUCUUUUCAUGUGUCCACAGUACAUGUGACAGCAUGUUUGCUGAAUCAAAGAUCUCUCAGGAUGAAGCUCACUUUUUUCCUGUCUUUCUCAUUUGUACUCUUUUUUUCUAUUUAAAAUCCUUAGACAUUGGGCAAUGGGUAUGAUGGGAAACAAAAAGGAGGAAGAAGUAGAAGUGAAAAAUAAAGAAAGACAACAAGAAAUAUUUCAUGGUCUCUCCUCCACAGAUUUCCAAUAUUUAUAGACGGUUUAUUAAGAAAGGCCUCCGUGGCUGCCUUUGGAUAAUCUUACAUGAGCAAAAAGACAACAUGCUAAGAAAGAAGGAAGAUGUCUGAACAUGAGCUUCACUGACGAUGCCAAGAGAUGGCCAAUGCAGAAAAGAUGGAUUUUUCUUAGUAUGGUGAUGACUGAUGAAAGUCUACUGUGGUUUGAAUGUCUUCUCCAAAAUUCAUGUUGCAAAUUUAGUUGCCAUUGUAAUAGUCAGCAUUAAGAGGUGGAGCCCUUAAGAGGUGACUAAAUCGUGAGGUCAGAGUUCUCAUGAGUGGAUUACUGUUGUUAUUGUGGGAGUGGGUUUCUGAUUGAGUUUGGUCUAAUUUCUGCUCUGUCUUAUGUGCUUGCUCUGCCUUCUGUCAUGAGACGACCCUACCAAAUACCAGCACAAUGCUCUUGGACUUCCUGGUCUCCAGAACCAUGAGUCAAAUAAACUUUUAUUGUUUAUAAAUGACCCAAUUUGUGGUAUUCUGUUAUAGCAGCAGGAAAGAGACUAAGACAAAAUCCUUACCAGAAAAUUUGCUGGCCAAAGUUUCAGCAAUGAUAAAAAGAGACUAACAGAAAUUCAGAGCAUGGAAAGAAAUACGAGUGGCAAAAUGUAUUUUCAGCACUCAAAGCUGUGAAAUACAUAUCCAUCAAUGAGUAGAAAGCUAACUGGGUACAUA
Callithrix jacchus (white-tufted-ear marmoset) is the source of this 3242-nucleotide long non-coding RNA. RefSeq lists it as uncharacterized. Lineage: Eukaryota; Metazoa; Chordata; Mammalia; Primates; Cebidae. The record is from RefSeq and is a predicted model, not a curated record.